GAGCCUGUAGCUCAAUGGCAGAGCGCUUGACUGUGGAUCAAGAGGUUGUGGGUUCGAAACCCAUCAGGCUCCCA
Molecule: transfer RNA, 74 nt
Filed under: Anaerolineae bacterium CG1_02_58_13
Lineage: Bacteria; Bacillati; Chloroflexota; Anaerolineae
Also listed under: 1 other name
Description: tRNA-His
Rfam family: tRNA
About the family: Transfer RNA (tRNA) molecules are approximately 80 nucleotides in length. Their secondary structure includes four short double-helical elements and three loops (D, anti-codon, and T loops). Further hydrogen bonds mediate the characteristic L-shaped molecular structure. tRNAs have two regions of fundamental functional importance: the anti-codon, which is responsible for specific mRNA codon recognition, and the 3' end, to which the tRNAs corresponding amino acid is attached (by aminoacyl-tRNA synthetases). tRNAs cope with the degeneracy of the genetic code in two manners: having more than one tRNA (with a specific anti-codon) for a particular amino acid; and 'wobble' base-pairing, i.e. permitting non-standard base-pairing at the 3rd anti-codon position.
Source: RNAcentral